ACGAGUGGCGGACGGGUGAGUAAUGCUUGGGAACUUGCCUUUGCGAGGGGGAUAACAGUUGGAAACGACUGCUAAUACCGCAUAACGUCUACGGACCAAACGGGGCUUAGGCUCCGGCGCAGAGAGAGGCCCAAGUGAGAUUAGCUAGUUGGUGAGGUAAAGGCUCACCAAGGCGACGAUCUCUAGCUGUUCUGAGAGGAAGAUCAGCCACACUGGGACUGAGACACGGCCCAGACUCCUACGGGAGGCAGCAGUGGGGAAUAUUGCACAAUGGGGGAAACCCUGAUGCAGCCAUGCCGCGUGUGUGAAGAAGGCCUUCGGGUUGUAAAGCACUUUCAGUUGUGAGGAAAAGUGAGUAGUUAAUACCUGCUCACCGUGACGUUAGCAACAGAAGAAGCACCGGCUAACUCCGUGCCAGCAGCCGCGGUAAUACGGAGGGUGC
Molecule: ribosomal RNA, 442 nt
Filed under: Alteromonas hispanica
Lineage: Bacteria; Pseudomonadati; Pseudomonadota; Gammaproteobacteria; Alteromonadales; Alteromonadaceae
Description: bacterial SSU rRNA
Rfam family: Bacterial small subunit ribosomal RNA
Source: RNAcentral